Erinaceus europaeus (western European hedgehog) is the source of this 163-nucleotide small nuclear RNA. Its record names the gene U1. It matches the Rfam family "U1 spliceosomal RNA". Rfam says of the family: U1 is a small nuclear RNA (snRNA) component of the spliceosome (involved in pre-mRNA splicing). Its 5' end forms complementary base pairs with the 5' splice junction, thus defining the 5' donor site of an intron. NCBI's taxonomy places the organism in Eukaryota, Metazoa, Chordata, Mammalia, Eulipotyphla, Erinaceidae. The record is from Ensembl.
AUGCUAGCCUGGCGGGGCGAUACCGUGAUUACAAAGGUGGUUUUCCCAGGGUGAAGCUUCUCCAGUGCACUCUGGAUGUGCUAACCCCUGUGACUUCCCCAAAUGUGGGAACUUUAACUGCAUAAUUUGGGGUAGCAGAGGACUGUGUUCAAGCUCUCCCUUA